Molecule: ribosomal RNA, 467 nt
Filed under: uncultured bacterium
Lineage: Bacteria
Description: partial 16S ribosomal RNA
Rfam family: Bacterial small subunit ribosomal RNA
Source: RNAcentral
AGUGAACGCUGGCGGUAGGCCUAACACAUGCAAGUCGAACGGCCUCUCCGUAAUUGCUUGCUCUUACGGGUGGCGAGUGGCGGAACGGUGCGGAAUGCAUCGGAAUCUACUUUUUCACUUGGGCUAACAUAGGGAACCUUACGCUAGUACCGGAUACAACCUCCUUGUGGCAGCAGGGGAUCUUCAGACCUUGCGCUAUUGGAGGGGCCCAUGUCGGCUUCGCUAGUUAGCGGGGUAAAGGCGCACCAAGGCGACGCUCCGUAGCUGGGCCGAGAGGAUGACCAGACACACUGGGACUGGGACGCGGCCCAGAAUCCUACGGGAGGCAGCAGUGGGGAAUCUUGCGCAAUGGGCGAAAGCCUGACGCAGCCAUGCCGCGUGAAUGAUGAAGGUCUUAGGAUUGUAAAAUUCUUUCACCGGGGACGAUACUGACGGUACCCGGAGAAGAAGCCCCGGCUAACUUCGUG